This 867-nucleotide long non-coding RNA is filed under the name Homo sapiens (human). Its description in RNAcentral is "MSRB3 antisense RNA 1 (MSRB3-AS1)". Lineage: Eukaryota; Metazoa; Chordata; Mammalia; Primates; Hominidae. The record is from RNAcentral.
GAGCUCAUUGAUCAUCAUAACAGAGUCUAUUGAAAGUCCUCAGCAGGCGGUGUGACGAUGUGACCAGCUCUGGCCAAGGAGCUGUAGGCAGAAGUGUCUUGCAGCAGCUCCUGUAAAUCUUAAAAGACAGCUGGUGCGUGUCUUUUUUCCUUUUUUUUUCCCUUCCCCCUUCCUGCUGCGCUGAAUAUGGAUAUGGUGAGUGAAUCUAGAGCAGCCAUUUGGAGGUAUGAAGAGAUCUUGGAAAUAGAGGCCAUGUGUGUUGAAACAAGACCGAACAACUCCAAGUUCCUGAAGACUUCAUUUCACCAACCCAGAACCUCCUUGAUCAUCACAGCCUUUGCAUGGAUGAUUGUCUGUCCUCUGUUGGGCCCCUUCUGAAGAGUUGGAGUUGGCUUUAUACAAUUAUUCCCAAAUCUUCUAAACUGACAGUGAGGGAGAGUAAUUUGAAAGGACUGCUCAACUCAACGUCAUUUGAAGAUUUGCACCACAGCUGCAUUUUUCCAAUUUCCUGGCAUCUAUUCUGCUCUCCUGGACUUUUCAAAAACAAUUUCUUUCAGAUCCCUGGAGGCCUCUCCCAGGGCCUGUGGUGUGGAGAGUUGGACUUGACCCUACUGUAAGAGACCCAACUUCCAAAGACUGCAUCAGAUGAAAGGCUCUCCAUAUAGACUACAGACUUGUCAGCUGGUUAAGGAGGCAAACAGAACAGUCUGCUACAAACUCCAGUCCAUGUAUCUGUGCUGAAAAUAAAAGGAGUCUUCAGGAAUCAAAGAAGAAAAUAUUUUUAUAAAGAAAUUUUAUUGCAUAAUUCUUGUAUACAAUAAACAUAGGAAAAGGGUUUUUAAUGAAAAUUCAUGUCAUUUUUCAAAA